RNAcentral lists this ribosomal RNA (233 nucleotides) under Salmonella enterica subsp. enterica. RNAcentral's name for it is "partial 23S ribosomal RNA". It matches the Rfam family "Bacterial large subunit ribosomal RNA", at positions 1652 to 1867 of the family's 2925-position model. Lineage: Bacteria; Pseudomonadati; Pseudomonadota; Gammaproteobacteria; Enterobacterales; Enterobacteriaceae. The record is from RNAcentral.
AACCGACACAGGUGGUCAGCUAGAGAAUACCAAGGCGCUUGAGAGAACUCGGGUGAAGGAACUAGGCAAAAUGGUGCCGUAACUUCGGGAGAAGGCACGCUGACACGUAGGUGAAGUGAUUUACUCACGGAGCUGAAGUCAGUCGAAGAUACCAGCUGGCUGCAACUGUUUAUUAAAAACACAGCACUGUGCAAACACGAAAGUGGACGUAUACGGUGUGACGCCUGCCCGGU